Molecule: ribosomal RNA, 207 nt
Filed under: uncultured Chlorobaculum sp.
Lineage: Bacteria; Pseudomonadati; Chlorobiota; Chlorobiia; Chlorobiales; Chlorobiaceae
Description: partial 16S ribosomal RNA
Rfam family: Bacterial small subunit ribosomal RNA
Source: RNAcentral
UGCGCAGGCGGGCUCAUAAGUCGGGGGUUAAAUCCAUGUGCUUAACACAUGCAUGGCUUCCGAUACUGUGAGUCUGGAGUCUCGAAGAGGAAGAUGGAAUUUCCGGUGUAACGGUGGAAUGUGUAGAUAUCGGAAAGAACACCAGUGGCGAAGGCAGUCUUCUGGUCGAGAACUGACGCUCAGGCACGAAGCGUGGGGAGCAAACAG